UUAAUUGAAACCAAAUAGAGGUAUACCACUGUUAAUGGUAAAAAUGAAUCUUUUCCAAUUAAA
RNAcentral lists this transfer RNA (63 nucleotides) under Falcicornis taibaishanensis. RNAcentral's name for it is "tRNA-Asn". Lineage: Eukaryota; Metazoa; Arthropoda; Insecta; Coleoptera; Lucanidae. The record is from RNAcentral.